GAUGAACGCUAGUGGCAGGCUUAACACAUGCAAUCGAGGGGUAUUGGUUUUCGGACCAAGAGACCGGCGCACGGGUGCGUAACGCGUAUGCAAUCUACCUUUUGCAGAGGGAUAGCCCAGAGAAAUUUGGAUUAAUACCUCAUAGUAUAACACAACCGCAUGGUUGAGUUAUUAAAGUCACAACGGCAAAAGAUGAGCAU
RNAcentral lists this ribosomal RNA (200 nucleotides) under uncultured bacterium. Its description in RNAcentral is "partial 16S ribosomal RNA". It matches the Rfam family "Bacterial small subunit ribosomal RNA", at positions 28 to 232 of the family's 1533-position model. The record is from RNAcentral.